GGUUGUGUAGUGUAGUGGUCAUCACGUCAGAUUUUGAUUGGUCCGAUUAACUUUCUGAGAACCCCAGUUCGAACCCGGGCACGACCU
RNAcentral lists this transfer RNA (87 nucleotides) under Yarrowia lipolytica. It matches the Rfam family "tRNA". From Rfam's summary of the family: Transfer RNA (tRNA) molecules are approximately 80 nucleotides in length. Their secondary structure includes four short double-helical elements and three loops (D, anti-codon, and T loops). Lineage: Eukaryota; Fungi; Ascomycota; Dipodascomycetes; Dipodascales. RNAcentral also lists the same sequence under 1 other name. The record is from Rfam by way of RNAcentral.